RNAcentral lists this ribosomal RNA (363 nucleotides) under Deltaproteobacteria bacterium. Its description in RNAcentral is "partial 23S ribosomal RNA". It matches the Rfam family "Bacterial large subunit ribosomal RNA", at positions 2568 to 2925 of the family's 2925-position model. The record is from RNAcentral. Lineage: Bacteria; Pseudomonadati; Myxococcota; Myxococcia.
AGGGUUCGGCUGUUCGCCGAUCAAUAGCGGUACGUGAGCUGGGUUCAGAACGUCGUGAGACAGUUCGGUCCCUAUCUGAUGUGGGCGCAGGAGAUUUGAAGGAAGCUGUCCUUAGUACGAGAGGACCGGGAUGGCGGGACCUCCAGUAUUCCAGUUGUUCUGCCAAGAGCAACGCUGGUUAGCUGUGUCCCGAAGGGAUAACCGCUGAAAGCAUCUAAGUGGGAAGCCCCUCCUAAGAUAAGAUCUCCCUGGAACGCAAGUUCCCUGUAGGCCACUUGGAGACUACAAGUUUGAUAGGCCGGGUGUGUAAGCCCUGUAAGGGGUUAAGCUAACCGGUACUAAUCGGCCGUGAGGCUUGACCAU